Vicugna pacos (alpaca) is the source of this 2318-nucleotide non-coding RNA. The record is from RefSeq and is a predicted model, not a curated record. Lineage: Eukaryota; Metazoa; Chordata; Mammalia; Artiodactyla; Camelidae.
UCCCAGCUGACGCUUAAUCCUGUGUCUGGCCUCCCUCUGUGGAUUUCCCUUUGGUUUUGAGAAGGGACUAAGCGUUUCUGGUUCAGUAUUCCUAGUCCCAGUGAUAACAGGGGCUGUGAAUUAUGGACGCAGGAGCAAAUGUUUUUAAUCUUCCAUGAAACAAAACCAGGGUGUUUUCUGCACCAGGGGCCAAGGCCGGGGGAGGAAGCGGACAGCUGCUCCGAUACGGUGAACGCCGGCUGACGUCACCGGGAGCCGGUCCGGGCCAAGGACUCCACUCAGGAAGCGUAAAAGUGAUACCGAAAACGAAUUUGCAUUUUUUCCUUUCACGGGGAGCUCGGCGACUCUCGGCUGACAUGUUUUCCCCGGCCCUGGCAGCUGGCGUGUGGGACAAGCCUGGCCGGCCGUGUGCUGGGGAGGCAACUCCAGCUUUGGUUUCCUGCUGCCCCUUUAAGCGUGUGUUCUGCGGGGCUCAUGUUCCCUGGCCCGGGAUGAAAGGCCCUGGCAGGAGCUGGCUUCUCUGCUCCUCUUAGGAAACAGUCUGUCCUGAGGUCACUUCCAAUGGAAAACAGUCUCAAAUUUGGAAUUUGAAUGUGCAGGCCAAGGUAUUAGUCAAAACUCUCAACUUGGACAUCUGAUUCUCCCCCCGCGUCCAGCUCAGCUUGCCUGGGGCUGGAAGCCUGCGUGGGAAAGGGGGCUUCUGUGCUGGACCCCUGUGCUCACACUGGCUCCCCUACCCCCAAGGAGGAUGCUGAGGUGCUCGGGGAGGGGAAGGCCAGGCUCAUCUGGAUAAUACAGGCUAACCUCCGCCUCCCAAGAUCUUGAACGUAAUCACGCCGACAGAGGCUCUUUCUGAAUGAGGUCACAUUUAGUUUCCAGGGACUGGACCUGGCAUCUGUGGGGCAUUUAUUCAGCCCACCCUCCCGCCCUGGGCUUCCUGGCUGGGAACAGGCCCCAGCCCUUCCUGCCCUCAGCUGGAGGGAGUCACGUGGUAAGCUCUCCAAGUAGCUUGGUGGAAACCCCAAAAUGUUUGUGGGGCAGGCAACCCCCCACCUGCCCUUCAGGAAGCACAGCAUUCUCCAAAGACACUUCUCUCUGAAAGCCCUCUUCUCAAAAUCCUGUCUCUCAACCAGCCGACUUGUUACAUCCUCCAGGGGGGCGGGGGUGCUCAGGGUUGCAGACGUUGACCUUCUCCUGUGAGCCCUUCUCCUUGCUUUGGAAUCACAGCACAAGUAGCUUGGCCCCCCGUGUCACACUUCACAUGCUGUUACCUUUGUGAUGGUGUGAUUCAAGGUCCCGCCUGCACAAGCUGCCCACAGAGGGGCCAUGGGGCCUGGGAUCUAGCCCAGCUCUGCCUGACAAGUUUGGCAUGGAUGCCUCGAUCCAUGGGGAGCAUGGUCCCUGCCACCCCGAGUCCACCUCAACUGGCUCUCACAACGUCCAAGGACUUGCCAGUGGGAGGUGCAGAGAGGCCGGGGGCUGCAACGUGACCGUGGAACUCCGGUGACAAAUGACACAGGCCACUUCCAUCCUCGGGUUUCCAACUUGCAACUGCUGUGCAGAUCUAGAAGUUUCCUGUCCCACGGGUGAGCAGACCGUCACUGGAUUAGGGUUUAAUGUGUGUGUGUGCACUCAGCUGAGAUGGACAAGCUGGCCUGGAAAGAAAACCUGUUCCCCAGCUCUCGGAACAUGGAUCCAGCUUUUAGGGAAGAAGAUGAUACAGAUUUGUUUGGAAGGUUCUGGAAGGCUCAGAGCUGCCUGGGAAACCAGCAGUUUCUAGAAGCAGCAGCUGACAGAUUCCACUCAAGAGAUAGUUCAAAAUGGCAACGGCAUCAAGGGCCGAGCUUGCUCAGGGAUCUGUCCCCUGCCUCGACUGUUUUUUUUUUUAACUGAACAUUUCUUUUCCCCACUUCUCUACUCUUACCGUUGCAAAACCCCCACCCAUGAUGCUGGAAAAUUUAAGCCGUCUCAUCUUCUCUCUGACUCACCUUGUUCUUGGUUCUCAGGGGCUCGGAGGAGGGUCCAUGCUGAGUGGGCCCGUCUCUCUGAUUUGAAUUAUCCUGGGGCAACACUAGGAAGACGGGGAGACAGCCUUUCUCCAGGGGGACCAGCCUGGAACCCGUUACCUCCUGGUGCCUCAGUCUGCUUGGACAGUCAGAACCAAGGGCCACGGGCUGGCGGGGCUUCGACAGCAGAAUUCAGUUUCCUCACCACUCUGGAGGCUGGAAGUCUGAGAUCAAGGGGUCGGCAGGGCCGGCUCCUUCUGAGGCCUCUCUCCUUGGCCUGCAGACGGCUGUCUUCUCCCUGAGUCCUCACAC